AGGUGAAGGACCAGCGAUCGGAAUUGAUCUCGGAACGACGUAUUCGUGUGUAGGUGUAUGGCAGCAUGAUCGAGUUGAGAUUAUUGCUAAUGAUCAAGGGAACAGGACUACGCCGUCGUAUGUGGCGUUUACUGAUACGGAGCGGUUGAUUGGAGAUGCUGCUAAGAAUCAAGUUGCUAUGAACCCUACCAACACUGUUUUCGACGCGAAGCGAUUAAUUGGUAGGAGAUUCAGUGACCCGUCAGUACAGAGUGACAUGAAGCUUUGGCCUUUCAAGGUCAUCCCGGGACCUGCUGACAAGCCUAUGAUUGUUGUCAAUUACAAAGGCGAAGAGAAACAGUUCUCUGCUGAAGAAAUCUCCUCUAUGGUUCUUAUUAAGAUGAAGGAGAUUGCUGAGGCU
Molecule: unclassified non-coding RNA, 400 nt
Filed under: Hevea brasiliensis (rubber tree)
Lineage: Eukaryota; Viridiplantae; Streptophyta; Magnoliopsida; Malpighiales; Euphorbiaceae
Source: RNAcentral